UUGUCAUUUUAGCCUGUCGUGCCUGCUCCUAUAACAAGUGUGAGUUCCAAAACAGGGCUCGUGACCUGCAGCCUCGCCCGUCUGCUGGAGAGAGGGGGAGAUAGAGUGGAAGAGAGAGAGAGGUUUGACUUGUUAGUCAGGCCUCCUUCAUCAGGUCUCCUUAUGGCCUCCUUCAUCAGGUCUCCUUAUGGCCUCCUUCACCAGGUCUCCUCAAGGCCUCCUUCACCAGGUCUCCUCAUGGCCUCCUUCACCAGGUCUCCUCAUGGCCUCCUUCUCCAGGUCUCCUCAAGGUCUCCUUCCCUAGGUCUCCUCAAGGCCUCCUUCACCAGGCCUCCUCAAGGCCUCCUUCACCAGGUCUCCUCAUGGCCUCCUUCAUCAGGUCUCCUCAAGGCCUCCUUCACCAGGUCUCCUCAUGACCUCCUUCCCUAGGUCUCCUCAAGGCCUCCUUCACCAGGUCUCCUCAUGGACUCCUUCACCAGGUCUCCAUAUGGCCUCCUUCUUUGCCCCUUAUCUCACCUUGCUUCUCUUUGCUUUGUUCUGAGUCUUAGUACCCUGGGGACCUGGCACAUGGGUCAAGUCACGGUGUGACACAGCCUCCUCUCCUCCUCAUACAACACUACCUUUGUACUAUCACCUGUCACCUGUACAGUCAAUCUCACUUGUGUUUUAAUACCAGACAGCCCCUCUCACAGCGGUUAGCCCGUUCUCCUGUGUGAUGUUAUAAGUCAUUACCCAGUCUCAGACAGAAAAGGCAUCGGUCACUCAGUGUAUCCAACCACUGGAAGAGUCACACAUGAAAGAAGUUUAAUCAUCCAUUUUAUUGCUAGCUAGACAAAUAUUACAAAAAUAACGGAAGUGUGGUCAAAGUUAUGAGUUUGAAUGCCACGGUGCAAACAGUUAAUGUUUUAUCGGUCAUGUUUUGUUUAUUCUUCCCUCCCUGAUUGGGAUAGUUCACUUUAGCCUAAUAAUUCUUCACGUCAGCCGCCGUGCUUUUGACCUUGGGUUCCAGUGGCAGCCCAGAUUACUCCAACAAACCCAUGAGACAACACCAGCAAACUCCAAGAAUUCCAAACACUACUCAAACAAACUAAUUAGACUACUCCAACAAACUCCAACAAACCACAAGACUAUUCCAACAAUCGCCAAGAAAUCCCAAGACUACAACAUUAAACCCUAAGACAACUUCAAGAACCCCCAAUACUACUCCAACAAACUCCAAGAAACCCCAUGACUACACCAACAAACUCCAAGAAACCCCAAGACUAGUCCAACAAACUCCAAGAACCCCCAAUACUACUCCCACAACCUCCAAGAAACCCCAUGACUACACCAACAAACUCCAAGAAACCCCAAGACUAGUCCAACAAACUCCAAGAAACCCCAUGACUACACCAACAAACUCCAAGAAACCCCAAGACUAGUCCAACAAACUCCAAUAAACCCCAUGACUACUCCAACAAACUCCAAGAAACCCCAUGACUACACCAACAAACUCCAAGAAACCCCAAUACUAGUCCAACAAACUCCAAGAAACCCCAUGACUACACCAACAAACUCCAAGAAACCCCAAGACUAGUCCAACAAACUCCAAGAAACCCCAAGACUAGUCCAACAAACUCCAAGAAACCCCAUGACUACACCAACAAACUCCAAGAAACCCCAUGACUACACCAACAAACUCCAAGAAACCCCAUGACUACACCAACAAACUCCAAGAAACCCCAAGACU
Long non-coding RNA from Oncorhynchus tshawytscha (Chinook salmon), 1729 nucleotides. NCBI's taxonomy places the organism in Eukaryota, Metazoa, Chordata, Actinopteri, Salmoniformes, Salmonidae. The record is from Ensembl.